Danio rerio (zebrafish) is the source of this 137-nucleotide small nucleolar RNA. The record is from Ensembl. Lineage: Eukaryota; Metazoa; Chordata; Actinopteri; Cypriniformes; Danionidae.
GUCCUUCUUAAAAGCACUUGCUUCGUCUGCUCAGUGGCUGGGUGAGUUGUCGUGGAAGGAUAAAGUAAACCCCAUUGCUCUUGGGUGAGAUGGCAGUCUCCACAUGCUGUUUAAUCUCAAUCCGUGAUGGAACAAAU